RNAcentral lists this ribosomal RNA (497 nucleotides) under uncultured bacterium. RNAcentral's name for it is "partial 16S ribosomal RNA". It matches the Rfam family "Bacterial small subunit ribosomal RNA", at positions 28 to 507 of the family's 1533-position model. The record is from RNAcentral.
GGUGAACGCUGGCGGCGUGCCUAAUACAUGCAAGUCGAGCGAACAGAUAAGGAGCUUGCUCCUUUGAAGUUAGCGGCGGACGGGUGAGUAACACGUGGGUAACCUACCUAUAAGACUGGGAUAACUUCGGGAAACCGGAGCUAAUACCGGAUAACAUUUAGAACCGCAUGGUUCUAAAGUGAAAGAUGGUUUUGCUAUCACUUAUAGAUGGACCCGCGCCGUAUUAGCUAGUUGGUAAGGUAACGGCUUACCAAGGCGACGAUACGUAGCCGACCUGAGAGGGUGAUCGGCCACACUGGAACUGAGACACGGUCCAGACUCCUACGGGAGGCAGCAGUAGGGAAUCUUCCGCAAUGGGCGAAAGCCUGACGGAGCAACGCCGCGUGAGUGAUGAAGGGUUUCGGCUCGUAAAACUCUGUUAUUAGGGAAGAACAAAUGUGUAAGUAACUGUGCACAUCUUGACGGUACCUAAUCAGAAAGCCACGGCUAACUACGUG